UACACACCGCCCGUCACACCAUGGGAGUUGGCUGCACCAGAAGUAGGUAGUCUAACCGUAAGGAGGGCGCUUACCACGGUGUGGUCAAUGACUGGGGUG
This 99-nucleotide ribosomal RNA is filed under the name uncultured bacterium. RNAcentral's name for it is "partial 16S ribosomal RNA". It matches the Rfam family "Bacterial small subunit ribosomal RNA", at positions 1384 to 1482 of the family's 1533-position model. The record is from RNAcentral.